AAUAGAUACCCAGGUAGUCCACGCCGUAAACGAUGAGUGCUAAGUGUUAGGGGGUUUCCGCCCCUUAGUGCUGCAGCUAACGCAUUAAGCACUCCGCCUGGGGAGUACGGUCGCAAGACUGAAACUCAAAGGAAUUGACGGGGGCCCGCACAAGCGGUGGAGCAUGUGGUUUAAUUCGAAGCAACGCGAAAAACCUUACCAGGUCUUGACAUCCCACUGACCGCUAUGGAGACAUAGUUUUCCCUUCGGGGACAGUGGUGACAGGUGGUGCAUGGUUGUCGUCAGCUCGUGUCGUGAGAUGUUGGGUUAAGUCCCGCAACGAGCGCAACCCUUGAUCUUAGUUGCCAUCAUUUAGUUGGGCACUCUAAGGUGACUGCCGGUGACAAACCGGAGGAAGGUGGGGAUGACGUCAAAUCAUCAUGCCCCUUAUGACCUGGGCUACACACGUGCUACAAUGGACGGUACAAACGGUUGCCAACCCGCGAGGGGGAGCUAAUCCGAUAAAACCGUUCUCAGUUCGGAUUGUAGGCUGCAACUCGCCUACAU
This 546-nucleotide ribosomal RNA is filed under the name uncultured bacterium. RNAcentral's name for it is "bacterial SSU rRNA". It matches the Rfam family "Bacterial small subunit ribosomal RNA", at positions 777 to 1321 of the family's 1533-position model. The record is from RNAcentral.